RNAcentral lists this ribosomal RNA (440 nucleotides) under uncultured bacterium. Its description in RNAcentral is "partial 16S ribosomal RNA". It matches the Rfam family "Bacterial small subunit ribosomal RNA", at positions 338 to 795 of the family's 1533-position model. The record is from RNAcentral.
CCUACGGGAGGCAGCAGUAGGGGAUAUUGCACAAUGGGGGAAACCCUGAUGCAGCAACGCCGCGUGGGUGAUGAAGGUUUUCGGAUUGUAAAGCCCUGUUGUUAGGGAAGAAAAUGACGGUAUCUGACGAAUAAGCACCGGCUAACUCCGUGCCAGCAGCCGCGGUAAUACGGAGGGUACAAGCGUUACUCGGAUUCACUGGGGGUAAAGAGCGCGUAGGCGGGGUAGCAAGUCAGGUGUGAAAUCCUAUGGCUUAACCACAGGACUGCAUUUGAAACUGUUAGUCUAGAGUAUGGGAGAGGUAGGUGGAAUUCUUGGUGUAGCGGUAAAAUGCGUAGAGAUCAAGAGGAAUACUCAUGGCGAAGGCGACCUGCUAGAACAUAACUGACGCUGAGGCGCGAAAGCGUGGGGAGCAAACAGGAUUAGAUACCCGUGUAGUC